CACUAUCGUUAACUGAAUACAUAGGUUAACGAGGCGAACCGGGGGAACUGAAACAUCUAAGUACCCCGAGGAAAAGAAAUCAACCGAGAUUCCCCCAGUAGCGGCGAGCGAACGGGGAGCAGCCCAGAGUCUGAAUCAGCUUGUGUGUUAGUGGAACGGUCUGGAAAGUCCGACGGUACAGGGUGAUAGUCCCGUACACCAAAAUGCACAGGCUGUGAACUCGAAGAGUAGGGCGGGACACGUGGUAUCCUGUCUGAAUAUGGGGGGACCAUCCUCCAAGGCUAAAUACUCCUGACUGACCGAUAGUGAACCAGUACCGUGAGGGAAAGGCGAAAAGAACCCCGGCGAGGGGAGUGAAAAAGAACCUGAAACCGUGUACGUACAAGCAGUGGGAGCACCUUCGGGUGUGACUGCGUACCUUUUGUAUAAUGGGUCAGCGACUUAUAUUCUGUAGCAAGGUUAACCGUAUAGGGGAGCCGCAGGGAAACCGAGUCUUAACUGGGCGUUAAGUUGCAGGGUAUAGACCCGAAACCCGGUGAUCUAGCCAUGGGCAGGUUGAAGGUUGGGUAACACUAACUGGAGGACCGAACCGACUAAUGUUGAAAAAUUAGCGGAUGACUUGUGGCUGGGGGUGAAAGGCCAAUCAAACCGGGAGAUAGCUGGUUCUCCCCGAAAGCUAUUUAGGUAGCGCCUCGUGAACUCAUCUUCGGGGGUAGAGCACUGUUUCGGCUAGGGGGUCAUCCCGACUUACCAACCCGAUGCAAACUACGAAUACCGAAGAAUGUUAUCACGGGAGACACACGGCGGGUGCUAACGUCCGUCGUGAAGAGGGAAACAACCCAGACCGCCAGCUAAGGUCCCAAAGUCAUGGUUAAGUGGGAAACGAUGUGGGAAGGCACAGACAGCCAGGAUGUUGGCUUAGAAGCAGCCAUCAUUUAAAGAAAGCGUAAUAGCUCACUGGUCGAGUCGGCCUGCGCGGAAGAUGUAACGGGGCUAAACCAUGCACCGAAGCUGCGGCAGCGACACUAUGUGUUGUUGGGUAGGGGAGCGUUCUGUAAGCCUGCGAAGGUGACCUGUGAGGGUUGCUGGAGGUAUCAGAAGUGCGAAUGCUGACAUAAGUAACGAUAAAGCGGGUGAAAAGCCCGCUCGCCGGAAGACCAAGGGUUCCUGUCCAACGUUAAUCGGGGCAGGGUGAGUCGACCCCUAAGGCGAGGCCGAAAGGCGUAGUCGAUGGGAAACAGGUUAAUAUUCCUGUACUUGGUGUUACUGCGAAGGGGGGACGGAGAAGGCUAUGUUAGCCGGGCGACGGUUGUCCCGGUUUAAGCAUGUAGGCUGGUUGUCCAGGCAAAUCCGGAUAAUCAAGGCUGAGGUGUGAUGACGAGGCACUACGGUGCUGAAGUAACAAAUGCCCUGCUUCCAGGAAAAGCCUCUAAGCAUCAGGUAACAUUAAAUCGUACCCCAAACCGACACAGGUGGUCAGGUAGAGAAUACCAAGGCGCUUGAGAGAACUCGGGUGAAGGAACUAGGCAAAAUGGUGCCGUAACUUCGGGAGAAGGCACGCUGGUGUGUAGGUGAAGUCCCUGCGGAUGGAGCUGAGACCAGUCGAAGAUACCAGCUGGCUGCAACUGUUUAUUAAAAACACAGCACUGUGCAAACACGAAAGUGGACGUAUACGGUGUGACGCCUGCCCGGUGCCGGAAGGUUAAUUGAUGGGGUUAUCCGUAAGGAGAAGCUCUUGAUCGAAGCCCCGGUAAACGGCGGCCGUAACUAUAACGGUCCUAAGGUAGCGAAAUUCCUUGUCGGGUAAGUUCCGACCUGCACGAAUGGCGUAAUGAUGGCCAGGCUGUCUCCACCCGAGACUCAGUGAAAUUGAACUCGCUGUGAAGAUGCAGUGUACCCGCGGCAAGACGGAAAGACCCCGUGAACCUUUACUAUAGCUUGACACUGAACAUUGAGCCUUGAUGUGUAGGAUAGGUGGGAGGCUUUGAAGCGUGGACGCCAGUCUGCGUGGAGCCAACCUUGAAAUACCACCCUUUAAUGUUUGAUGUUCUAACGUUGGCCCCUUACCGGGGUUGCGGACAGUGUCUGGUGGGUAGUUUGACUGGGGCGGUCUCCUCCCAAAGCGUAACGGAGGAGCACGAAGGUUAGCUAAUCCUGGUCGGACAUCAGGAGGUUAGUGCAAUGGCAUAAGCUAGCUUGACUGCGAGCGUGACGGCGCGAGCAGGUGCGAAAGCAGGUCAUAGUGAUCCGGUGGUUCUGAAUGGAAGGGCCAUCGCUCAACGGAUAAAAGGUACUCCGGGGAUAACAGGCUGAUACCGCCCAAGAGUUCAUAUCGACGGCGGUGUUUGGCACCUCGAUGUCGGCUCAUCACAUCCUGGGGCUGAAGUAGGUCCCAAGGGUAUGGCUGUUCGCCAUUUAAAGUGGUACGCGAGCUGGGUUUAGAACGUCGUGAGACAGUUCGGUCCCUAUCUGCCGUGGGCGCUGGAGAAUUGAGGGGGGCUGCUCCUAGUACGAGAGGACCGGAGUGGACGCAUCACUGGUGUUCGGGUUGUCAUGCCAAUGGCACUGCCCGGUAGCUAAAUGCGGAAGAGAUAAGUGCUGAAAGCAUCUAAGCACGAAACUUGCCCCGAGAUGAGUUCUCCCUGAGACUUUAAGUCUCCUGAAGGAACGUUGAAGACGACGACGUUGAUAGGCCGGGUGUGUAAGCGCAGCGAUGCGUUGAGCUAACCGGUACUAAUGAACCGUGAGGCUUAACCUU
This 2758-nucleotide ribosomal RNA is filed under the name Klebsiella pneumoniae. RNAcentral's name for it is "partial 23S ribosomal RNA". It matches the Rfam family "Bacterial large subunit ribosomal RNA". The record is from RNAcentral. Lineage: Bacteria; Pseudomonadati; Pseudomonadota; Gammaproteobacteria; Enterobacterales; Enterobacteriaceae.